Molecule: ribosomal RNA, 499 nt
Filed under: uncultured bacterium
Lineage: Bacteria
Description: partial 16S ribosomal RNA
Rfam family: Bacterial small subunit ribosomal RNA
Source: RNAcentral
GACGAACGCUGGCGGCGUGCUUAACACAUGCAAGUCGAACGGGCCCGCUCUCUUUUUUGGGGGUGGGUUGAGUGGCGAACGGGUGAGUAUCACGUGAGUAACCUGCCCCCUGCUCCUGGAUAACUGCUUGAAAGGGCGGCUAAUACGGGGUGUGCCGGCUGGUCCGCAUGGGCCUGGUCGGGAUAGUUUCAUCUUCGGGUGUUUCGGUGGGGGAUGGGCUCGCGGCCUAUCAGCUUGUUGGUGGGGUGAUGGCCCACCAAGGCGGUGACGGGUAGCCGGCCUGAGAGGGUGGGCGGCCAAACUGGGACUGAGACACGGCCCAGACUCCUGCGGGAGGCAGCAGUGGGGGGUAUUGCACAAGGGGCGGAAGCCUGAUGCAGCGACGUCGCGUGAGGGAUGGAGGCCUUCGGGUUGUGAACCUCUUUCUCCGGUGGUGAAGGCCCUGUCCGUUGCGGCGGGGUUGACGGUAGCCGGGUAUGAAGCGCCGGCUAACUACGUG